This 63-nucleotide transfer RNA is filed under the name Psammotettix sp. EMHAU-2015-Zz060503. RNAcentral describes it as "tRNA-Gly". The record is from RNAcentral. Lineage: Eukaryota; Metazoa; Arthropoda; Insecta; Hemiptera; Cicadellidae.
ACUUAUUUAAUAUAAAAAGUAUAUUAAGCUUCCAACUUAAAAGUCUCCAUAAAAGAAUAAGUA